ACGCACGCUGGCGACAUGCCUAACACAUGCAAGUCGAACGAGACCUUCGGGUCUAGUGGCGCACGGGUGCGUAACGCGUGGGAACCUGCCCUUAGGUUCGGAAUAACUCCCCGAAAGGGGUGCUAAUACCGGAUAAUGUCUUCGGACCAAAGAUUUAUCGCCUUUGGAUGGGCCCGCGUUGGAUUAGCUAGUUGGUAGGGUAAAAGCCUACCAAGGCGACGAUCCAUAGCUGGUCUGAGAGGAUGAUCAGCCACACUGGGACUGAGACACGGCCCAGACUCCUACGGGAGGCAGCAGUGGGGAAUAUUGGACAAUGGGCGAAAGCCUGAUCCAGCAAUGCCGCGUGAGUGAUGAAGGCCUUAGGGUUGUAAAGCUCUUUUACCCGGGAUGAUAAUGACAGUACCGGGAGAAUAAGCUCCGGCUAACUCCGUG
This 432-nucleotide ribosomal RNA is filed under the name uncultured bacterium. Its description in RNAcentral is "partial 16S ribosomal RNA". It matches the Rfam family "Bacterial small subunit ribosomal RNA", at positions 29 to 507 of the family's 1533-position model. The record is from RNAcentral.